Brassica napus (rape) is the source of this 107-nucleotide non-coding RNA. The record is from Rfam. NCBI's taxonomy places the organism in Eukaryota, Viridiplantae, Streptophyta, Magnoliopsida, Brassicales, Brassicaceae.
AAGCCAUGGUGUGGACAUUGGUUUAAGUAGCCUCUGAACCUCUCAUAUGCUUCUCCAAAGCCUUCAAGAUUAUUUUGUUGAAACCCAGAGAUCUCAUUCCUAAGCUU